UACGAAGGGGGCUAGCGUUGCUCGGAAUCACUGGGCGUAAAGCGCACGUAGGCGGAUUGUUAAGUCAGGGGUGAAAUCCUGGAGCUCAACUCCAGAACUGCCUUUGAUACUGGCGAUCUCGAGUCCGGGAGAGGUGAGUGGAACUGCGAGUGUAGAGGUGAAAUUCGUAGAUAUUAGGAAGAACACCAGUGGCGAAGGCGGCUCACUGGCCCGGUACUGACGCUGAGGCGCGAAAGCGUGGGGAGCAAACAGG
This 253-nucleotide ribosomal RNA is filed under the name uncultured bacterium. Its description in RNAcentral is "partial 16S ribosomal RNA". It matches the Rfam family "Bacterial small subunit ribosomal RNA", at positions 524 to 776 of the family's 1533-position model. The record is from RNAcentral.